UACGGAGGGUGCAAGCGUUAUCCGGAUUCACUGGGUUUAAAGGGUGCGUAGGAGGGUGUGUAAGUCAGUGGUGAAAUCUUCGAGCUUAACUCGGAAACUGCCGUUGAUACUACAUGUCUUGAAUACCGUGGAGGUGAGCGGAAUAUGUCAUGUAGCGGUGAAAUGCUUAGAUAUGACAUAGAACACCAAUUGCGAAGGCAGCUCACUACACGAGCAUUGACUCUGAGGCACGAAAGCGUGGGGAUCAAACAGG
Molecule: ribosomal RNA, 253 nt
Filed under: uncultured bacterium
Lineage: Bacteria
Description: partial 16S ribosomal RNA
Rfam family: Bacterial small subunit ribosomal RNA
Source: RNAcentral